ACAAUGAAGAGUUUGAUCCUGGCUCAGGAUGAACGCUAGCUACAGGCUUAACACAUGCAAGUCGAGGGGCAUCAGGAAGAAAGCUUGCUUUCUUUGCUGGCGACCGGCGCACGGGUGAGUAACACGUAUCCAACCUGCCCUUUACUCGGGGAUAGCCUUUCGAAAGAAAGAUUAAUACCCGAUAGCAUAAUGAUUCCGCAUGGUUUCAUUAUUAAAGGAUUCCGGUAAAGGAUGGGGAUGCGUUCCAUUAGGUUGUUGGUGAGGUAACGGCUCACCAAGCCUUCGAUGGAUAGGGGUUCUGAGAGGAAGGUCCCCCACAUUGGAACUGAGACACGGUCCAAACUCCUACGGGAGGCAGCAGUGAGGAAUAUUGGUCAAUGGGCGUUAGCCUGAACCAGCCAAGUAGCGUGAAGGAUGAAGGCUCUAUGGGUCGUAAACUUCUUUUAUAUAAGAAUAAAGUGCAGUAUGUAUACUGU
Molecule: ribosomal RNA, 476 nt
Filed under: Bacteroides fragilis
Lineage: Bacteria; Pseudomonadati; Bacteroidota; Bacteroidia; Bacteroidales; Bacteroidaceae
Description: bacterial SSU rRNA
Rfam family: Bacterial small subunit ribosomal RNA
Source: RNAcentral